GUUGUCUUCUUUUUACAGUGGUCUACCCCACGGCUGCUGUUGUCAUGUCCUACGUUGCUUAAGGUAAUAAUUGCUGCUGCUGCUGGACUAGUGCUGUUGUGACUAUACGUGUACCUGUAACUACAUAACGUCAUCUACUCAGACGAUGUGGAACUGGGUAUACUUCAUAUUUGUAGAUAUUAUCACAUAUGAUUAAAAGAUUUUUAAUCUCAAGGUACAACCCAUAAACAUCAGAGUUUAUUUUCAUGAUUACCAACGUAAAAAACCUAUCCUUUUUUCUUUAAAUUGGAAGUCUCAAUUUAAAAUGAAGAUGCUUGUCUUUCUUUAAAAAUAGUAUUUACAUUCAUGGCAAUGACAGCCUGUUGAAGGCUUGAAUUUACCCUGAUUAGUCUCAGAUGUUCAUGAGUUCAAAAGGGCUUUUUUCCAAUGGGAAAAAUACCUUCUGUAUCACUAUGGCCAACCUGAGUUAAAUAAUUUUGUCCAAUAUUAUGUAUCACAUUGUAUAAAUCUCCACAAUGGAUCAAGAGGGGUUUUAAAUUUUUAUUUAUUUUUUAAUUUAUUUUGGAGCUUUUUCAGUUUCUGUGGUAUGGAAGAAGCUUUUCUGAAUUACUUCCAGUGGAAUUUCUAUUUGUGAGAUGCAAACAUCAUUAUUGUCCUCGUUUGUGUUACUUCAUCUAAAGCUGAGAGACUGAGUUAAAAAAGCAGAAAAAAGUUUCUGUCUUCCGGUUUACAAACAAAACCCCAAACAGACAACAAAAAGAUCAGCUGAAUCUGAAAAUUAAAGAAUAUCUGGAUGUAUUUACAAAGAUAUUCUUGCAUGUAUGGCUGCUUUCCAGAAGUGCCUCGGCAUCUUACUGGCGCCGAUUUCGACAGAGACGAAGCAGCUGGCCUCCUGCAGUAUUUCUGAAAUCCCAGAAGGUAAUGAUCUGCUUUAUUAGGCACCAAAUACCUUUGGAAAUCAGGCCCACGAUGACCAGAAGCAAUCUGUCAGUUCGCUAACUACAAUUAAUAUUUCUUUUGUGUAAUAAACCAGUUUUAAAUACAAAGCAUAGUUUAAAAACUUAAUUUUUUUCCCCUGUGUAAACAGCAGAUAAAAGGUCAUUUAUUUUACCUGCAGAAACAAUUUUAACCAGCUCUUUUUGUGCAUUCUUAAAAUUUUAGUUCUCACUUUCGUCUGAAUACUGCUCAUAAAAAUUCAAGACAAAAAUUGGCACCAGAAAAUGCGCCCAUCACUAUGAUCUGACGUAAAUAUAUAUGUAUAACUAAUCAUCUCAGUAAAGGUAUGUGGGACAGAUGAAAAAAACGUGAACAGAUAUUGUAAAAAUACCACGUUUAGCAUAACUAUAGCAGAAGUUGCCAAUCAAUGAAAAUUAAACUUUACUCAGGGAAUAACCAAGAGGUCUACUAUGAUGGUGCCCGUAGGUAGAGCUGGCGGGAUGAAGUCCUGCUGGUCAUUUGCAGGGAUGCUGGGUGCUUCUCUGACCUGCAAACAGGGUGAAAGAUGGUCCCCUCGCCUACAGAGGGGUGACGGCUCUUCAGGGAAGGGCACACGGGCAGCCCAGGGCGUGAUCUUCGGGGACGGAGCGAUGCCGACAGCGGCAGUGUUGGAAAGCCUCAUCAGGACGAAGGUGGGACCCGAGAGGGAUGAUUUCACAGCACAGGUCACGUAUCACUGUUGCAGGGAAAACUUCCUCCAAGAGAGAAAGAAGAGAUGUGCCAACGCUUACAGGGAUGGAAAGCAGCACAAACCUGCUGGUGGUUAACGCAGGGCGGUCGCCCACCAAAUCCCUGUCUCUCGUCACCUCCUCCCUCCUGCCAGCAUCCUGGUGCUGCUCCCAGCGCGAUCCCAGUGCCUCCUCCCAGUCCUCGCCCAAGGCUUGCUGAAACCACUGGAAAUAUUCCUGCCGACUUCAAGAGCCUUUUCCUUCCCCACGUACAUAUCCAAGGGCUGUAGCCUCUGAAUCUGUAAUAUUUCAUCUAUUAUCCUGCAUCUUUUUUUUAAAGGGAUGGGGUGGAAGAGAACCCUUAUUCUGCAUGAAAGCCCAAAGGGCUGUAAAGAAUUAUUCUCUUCGCCAGGUCAUGCCCUGAUUUCCCUCAGUCUUAAAAUCAGCCUUUCUCACACUUCUCUCGCAGCUUCGUUACAUUCUGGAAAAAAAGAUGACUUGCUUCCCUGAUAUAGCAGAGGCUGUUUAUCCCCAAAAUGUUUUACACAAAAUGUUUCCAUUCACGUAACACAAUUUGUACACACAGAGGCUGUAGUAUACACAGGCAUAUACACAGGCCAAUUUUCAAUUUUUAGCUUCAAAAGGGACUUUCUUGCCAGUACAUCACAUGGGAUUUUUUUUCAAUACUUUAUUCUUAGUGACAUCUUUUGGGGGGGGCACGGAAAGGUAAAAAUCAAGAAACAUUUACUAUUUAUACAAAUACUCCAUGCUUAUUGCUCAUAAGGAGCAAUUUAAAAUGACAAAUCACUAUUCUAUAAAUCAGAUAUAGACAGACAACUUACUGGACUCCUUCCAAGAUACACUGAGACGUGCACCAAAAUAUCAGAGUGUAAUUACUUUCAUUAUGUAUUCCAAUUAAUCUGAAAACAACUGAGACUGUAAAGUUCGCAUCCUGCUAAUUUUUACUGACAUAAACCCCAAAAUUAUUUAUAGAAUUGGUUGUCCUCUGUUUACUUGAUUAAAAUAUGGACUAAUCAGGCACUGCUUUUCUAGAAAUAGUUUUUCAGUAUGGUAAUUUGCCAUCUGAAAUUUUCUUUAUUUAGCCAAAACACAAGUGCAUAUUUUAAUUCAUGGCAAUAUUUUAAACUUACGUCUGUUUUAGAACCAGUGACUUAACUAAAAAAAUUCCUAAACUAAAAGACCAUUUUUUAACGUGUAUCUGAAAAGUAGAGUCUCUUGUGUGAACCCAUGUUCUACUUCUGAUGUUCCCGAGGCGUUUUGUUGUUUGACCACAGCCCUUUUCCAAUAAGCAUAAGCAAUUAUUUUAAGUUGAAAAUUAUUUUGAUAAUGAACUUAUCUUCACCUUUGACAUCAUUGCUUCAGUGGGGGAAAGGAUAUACUGCAGUUGUGGGCAUAUAACCAUUUCUGACUCUGUAUUGUCAAUAAUUUAGACGUUCUUCUUUGUCUUUCAAAAGCAAUUGUUUAUCUGUAUUAUUUGUUUCAAAAAGUGCUUCCUUCUUGCUUUAAAAUGGAGAUUCAUUUUUGCAUGUCUGGAGUUCUCCAUAAAGGGAAAAGAAAUUGAAUUAAUCUUAAAAUGUUGUAAGACAUUAAAAACAUUAGCUAAUUGAAUACUACUGUGUAGCACAUUUUAAUAAAAAACCUUUAGCUCUCAUAAAGGAUUGGGAAGUUAAAGGAAAAAGCUAAUAUUCACAGCAGAGGCAGCAAGUUGAAGAAUGGGGCGUUCCUGCCCUAAUGGCUGCCGGGGAUGGAUGUGAUGCUGCCGUUCAGAUCAGACCAAGAACUCUUCUCCACCCUUGGGGCAGUUUGGCGGGUGCGGACUUGCACGGAGGUUGAACGCGGUGUGCGGGCUCGUGAUGGCCCUGCUUUGGUCGGUUGGUUCUUCUUGGACAAGCACUACCUGCCCCGAGAAGACCACUGAAGACAAGGACGUCCUGCGCAGCAGGGCCCAGAGCUCUUCUAUGGAGAGAGGAAGGGUAUUGCUUUUGCCUACUCCUAAUCCCACACUUUCCCAAACACUGAAUUAAUUAAGUUUGUAAUCCUCUCUUCCUCUAUCAGUUUAAGUCUUCUCUUCUGACCUCGUUCCUCCCUCCUGGCCCCUUCUUCAUUGGCACCAUGCUCCAUUCAGGGCUUAAUUACUCCACCGCACUUUAUGUUCCCUAGUUUGAAGCCACUGCUUUUUGUUUUGUCAUUUUCUGGUAAUGCGAAUAAUCCCCUUCCUUUGAAGGUAUUUAUAUUCUGUGAUCUUGUCUCCCCUGAGCUUUCUCUUUGGCAGACUGUAGAAACUGAGUUUCUUCUGUCUAACCUAACUCACUAGAUACCUUUUAAUGUUAUUUUCUCUGUGUGUGUGUCUUCUGUAGUUUCACGGCACUUCCGAGCUGUGGGGAGCAGAGUGGACCCAAAACAAGGUCCCAGCAUGCUUACCUAUAUAAAGCACUCUGUAACCCAUAUUACCUUUACAAAAUAACAGUGUACAAUCACUCAUCCCUCCUGAACUUUUUCUCCAACUCUUAACGUGAAGGAAAGUAUCAAGGAAAAGGGAUAUCCAUUAACCUAUCAACAAUUUGUCGAUUUAAAAUCUGUGCCCAGCCUAAAACCCAUAAGGCUAUGAUUCACCAUGCAAAGCAGUACUGAAACUGGAUUACAGCUGAGAGUCCUUUUGGCUGAGCCUUAUCUAAACUGCACUGGCCGAAUACAUUGAUUCUAAUGAAGUUAUUCAUGGCUUGCAUUGACUGACUUAAAGCCUUUGUCUUUCAUACGUAAAUUUAUUCUUCCAGACGUAAGGUAGAUGGAAAGUCUUGUGAUUAGCUGCACUGAGGAUACAUUAGAGAAGAUAACAACCAGAAGUGCCCUGGCUCCCUCAUGUCCUGGAUCCUUCUCAGCAAGGGACUGUGUUAUAAUUUACAGAGUGACUUAAUUGAAGAAGCUAUGGAAGUACAGUGAUCAGAAAAAUUUACAGUGGUUUCUGAUGUACGAAGGUUUCUCCGUAAGAGGUAAGCAGCGUGGAUCUUGCCUAGUACUUGCAGGAGAGACCACCUGGGAAUCCCACAAGGUGCAGUAGGCAUAGUACGAGAAGUCACGGCUAACCGUCUGACACGCAGGAAGCCACAGCAGACAAAUAAACUGGAAAACACCAUUUGGCUGUAACACAGGACCUCAGGGGACAGGUAGGGAAAAGAUGAAGGGAGCACAGCAGGUAAAUUCAUGUUUGCAAAACGAUCUUCUUCCAAGCCUGGAUCUCAUGUGGUAAAGCAGUUCAGGCUGUCCACAAGUGCCCCAUAGGCUUCAUGCAGGUUUCUGCGCAGGGAUGUGUUCAGUGUGAAGGUGGAACUCUAAAAUAUGGAUACCAGUAAUCAUUCUCAGUCUCUCUCUUCUAAAAUUAUAGACAUUUCUAACUGAGCAGAGUUGAAAUAUUCUUUACAUGCUAGUCUAAAUAGAUUCAGAUUUACUAUGGAAAAACGUACAGUAGCUUUUCCUUAUGUACAAGACCCCCAUGGAUUCCAAGACAAUGGGAUCAAAUUCCACAGCAGUGAUCUUUUAAUUGCAAGACAACAUUAAUUUAUUAGAACAUCUUGCAAUAAUAUUCCUUCCCAUCCUCCUCCUGGCCCAAGAAGAAUCCCACACAACCAAAGUUUGCAGUUAAAUGUAUUUGUUGACAUGACAUUUGUUAAUGAUUUUUCUGCCAUCCUUCACUUUGAAGAUAGCUUUUUCUUAAGAUUUCUGCACUGCCUGGCUUCAAUUCCUAAUCCUGCACAACGGAUGCACUGCACAAAAGCAGGUGUUUCUGUCAAACACUACCUGGCACGGUGGAGAAGGGCAGAACCGUGGGGUUGUAGGUCUGCGAUGGAGAGGAGCACAGGGCUGCAGCUCUACGGACCACAUCUCCAAGAUGUCCCAAGUGAAAAAUGCACGUUUGUGCUGUGCAUGGAAGAGCGGGACAGGGAUCCUUGAGCUUUCACCUUGCCAAGACAAGAGGUCCAUGCAGCAGGAGCUGCACUCAGCGUUGGUCCAUCAGCCUGAAUUGCUGGAUCUCUGCCUCGUCUUACAAAAACAGAGGACAGCAUCUCCUGCCUUAGCAGUAGACUCCAGUAACAGGAGACGCUGCUGUAACUGGAAGUAGCAAUUAAACUCGAUACUGGCAGUGCUACAUAGCAGGACUUCAAGUUUAAUAGCUCAAAAGUUAGGACAGUAAAAGUAAUCAUCAUUCACACAAAAGCACACAUCAAAAUGCAUUUCUUUGAAAAACUAAAGCAAUUAAUCUAAAAUCACCAGGACAGAAAAAAUAAUUAAAUCUAUAGCACUGAGUGAAAGGAAGUAUUGUCACUACUAUCAUAGUAUCAUAGGCUCACAGGAUAAUUCAGGCUGAGAAGAACCUCAAGAGGUCUCUAGUCCGACCUCCUGCUCAAAGCAGGGUCACCUCUGAGCCCAGACCAGGUUGCUCAGGGCUUUAUCCAGUUGGGUGCUGAAAAACUCCGGGGAUGGAGACUGCACAGCCUCUUCCACUGCCUGCUGGGGAAAAAGUAUUUCCUUUCAACCAAUCUGAAUGUCUCUCAUUUCAAUUUAUGCCUGUUGUCUCUUGUUCUCCUGCCAUGCACCACUGUGAAGAGCCCAGCUCCAUCUUCUUGCUAACCUCCCCACAGGUACUGGGGGGCUGCUGUUGGGUUCUCCAAAGUUUCCUCUCUUCCAGGCUGACCAAGUCGGUUCCUUCAGCCUCUCCAACCAGCCUGGGGGCCUCUGCUGAACUCACUCCAGUUUGUCCAUGUUGUUCUUGGCUCAGUAUCUAGAUGUGGUCUAACAGGUGCUGAGAAAUGGGGGAUAAUCCCUUCCCUCAAUCUGCUGGCUAAUGCAGCCCAGAAAUGUUCCCAGUCACUUCUUCUCCUUCACGUGCCCAGACGGGUACUCCAAGAGGAGUCACUGAAUGAUUUUCUGAGGGAACAAAGUGAAGCUGACCAGCCUGCAGUUCCCUGGGUUGGCCUUUGUACCUUUUUGAAGAUGGAUGAAACACUUGCCUUUUUUCUCCAGUUGUUGGAGACCCCACAAUGAUCUCCAUGACCUUCCAAAGAUGAUAGAGAGCAGCCUGGCAAGGGCAUCAGCCUGUUCUCCCAGCAACCUUGGAUGUAGCCCAUCUGGUCCCAUAGACUUGUAUGGGUGAAGUUCUCACAAGUAAUCCCUGACCUGACUCUCAUCCACUGCUGGCAGUUCUUCCCUUUGAACCCUGGGAGACCUUGUAACUGAAGACUACAGCAAAGAAGACACUGAGAACCUCACCCUUGUCUGUGUCUGCCAUCACAAUUCACUCACCCAGGCAGCAAUGGGCCCUUGUUUUCCUUCUUCAGCCUUUUAUCAUUAAUGUAGUGCCCUUCUUGUUGCCCUUGACAUCCCUUGCAAGUCUCAAUUCCAGCUGAGCGUUGGGUUUCCUGAUAUAAUUGCCUGGGCAAUGUUUCUAAACUUCUCCUUUGUAGCCUGUCCUUCUUCCACCUCCUGUAUACUGCUGUUCUGCAUUGGAGCUCUGCCAUGAGCCAAGCCAGCUCCUCUUACACCCACCCGUCUUCCAGAAUAUCAAGGUGGGCCCUGCCUGUCCUUGGAGGAUGCCAUCCUUAAAAGCUUGCCAGCUCUUCUGAGCAUCUUUCAGAGCUGCCCCAUGGCAUCCCACCUACCAAUUCCCCGAACAAGCAGCAGCCUCCUCGCCUGGAGCCCCAGGUCUGUGCUGCAGUCCUUUCUCACUCCUCACGGGGUCUUGGACCCCACUAUUGAGCGGUCACUACAACCAUGGAUACCACUGACUACCAUGUCCCCAACCAGCUCUUCCUUGUCAGUGAAUAGCAGGUGCUGGGGAGCAUCACCCUGCUUGGUCCACCCAAUACCUCUAUCAAGACGUUCUCCUUUGUUCCACAGUGAAACAUUAAAAAUAGGGAUUGAAAUGAUAAAAAUAUGAGCAAGGUUUACAAGUUUGCAUUCAGUAAACCAUCCUCUGUAUUUCAAGCCAUCUCUGAGUUUGAUCACAUGCCUAUUUUAUGCAUUAGCGGAAGAAAGAAAAAAGAAAACUUUUGUUUUAUGUCAAAGGAACAGAGCGGAAGGAGCGGAGUAGAAGAACGGACCUUUUUAAACUCUGGCUUACCACAUGAGAUCUUCAGCUAUUGCAAGGUCAGAAAGAACCCUGAAAGAUUCAUGGAUUGUCUUCUGGAAUGUGAGAACAACCAAUUAGGUCAAAUUACAUCUCUGUCAUAUAAUGCUGGAUCUAAUACUGAUCAAUAUAGGAUGCCUAGGGUUUGAAUAUUAGAAAGAAUACAAAUGAAGGAUGCUCUUGUGUGGAACGCCAUCUGGUACCCCAGGACAUACACGUCUCAUCUUCAGCUGUCAUUGAGUUUGGACUGUUGGGGGUGCAGACUGCACCUAAACCAGUCCUGGUAAUCCCAUCCUUUACAAACUCAUCUAAUUUCCUUUAGAGCUCAUUUAUAA
Harpia harpyja (harpy eagle) is the source of this 8141-nucleotide long non-coding RNA. RefSeq lists it as uncharacterized. The transcript is spliced from 3 exons. The record is from RefSeq and is a predicted model, not a curated record. NCBI's taxonomy places the organism in Eukaryota, Metazoa, Chordata, Aves, Accipitriformes, Accipitridae.